This 497-nucleotide ribosomal RNA is filed under the name uncultured bacterium. Its description in RNAcentral is "partial 16S ribosomal RNA". It matches the Rfam family "Bacterial small subunit ribosomal RNA", at positions 28 to 507 of the family's 1533-position model. The record is from RNAcentral.
GAUGAACGCUGGCGGCGUGCCUAAUACAUGCAAGUCGAGCGAACGGACGAGAAGCUUGCUUCUCUGAUGUUAGCGGCGGACGGGUGAGUAACACGUGGAUAACCUACCUAUAAGACUGGGAUAACUUCGGGAAACCGUAUCUAACACCGGAGAAUAUUUUGAACCGCAUGGUUCAAAAGUGAAAGACGGUCUUGCUGUCACUUAUAGAUGGUUUCGCGUUGCAUUAGCUAGUUGGUAAGGUAACGGCUUACCAAGGCAACGAUGCAGAGCCGACCUGAGAGGGUGAUCGGCCACACUGGAACUGAGACACGGUCCAGACUCCUACGGGAGGCAGCAGUAGGGAAUCUUCGGCAAUGGGCGAAAGCCUGACGGAGCAACGCCGCGUGAGUGAUGAAGGUCUUCGGAUCGUAAAACCCUGUUAUUAGGGAAGAACAUAUGUGUAAGUAACUGUGCACAUCUUGACGGUACCUAAACAGAAAGCCACGGCUAACUACGUG